GGAUGGGCCAGGUGGUUUACACUAUGGAAGAGCCAGAGGGGAGUUCUGACAAUAAAGGAAGACAAUGGGGAACGGGGAUCCCAUGGGAAAAAUGGAAUGGGAAAGCCCUAGGUGGGAGACACCAUGCAAAAAUGAGAGAGGCAAUAGGAACCUGUCUCCUGCUGGGAGGUGGAAAAAGAGAGAGACCAGCUUUGGAAAGGGGGAUGAUGCUCCAGGCAAAAUGAAGCAUUGAAACCUUGGAAAACCAUCCAGCUGAACAGCCAUUCUCAACUCUUUACUUUCGUCACAGCAUAAGGAAAGAGGCAUAAAGGCAUUUCCUGAAAAUGCCACCAACGGCUUAUUUCUCUGGGAAAACUGACCACACAUCACUGAAAAGCACUAGAAAAAAAAAUGUCGAAAAGUUUGCUCAAGUCUCACAGUGCCGAUGUUUAUAUCAUCUGUCAACAUAAGGACAACCAAAAAUGAUGAAGAAAUGAAAGCUUCAAGAAAAUACAAGUUCUAAAUUUUGUGAUUUCUGAUGUGGUUCAUGGUUGGAAUUUAAACAAACAUUUCCCCUCAAAGGAGACUAUUUUUAUUUUAAGAAAUAAUAUCUAAAUUACAAGACCUUCCUUGGCGAUUUCUUACUUAUUUUUUGAAUAGCUCUGUAUGGAACAGCAUAAGAAAAUUCCUGCAAAACACAGGUGUUAAUGUUCUUUUAU
Molecule: long non-coding RNA, 698 nt
Filed under: Homo sapiens (human)
Lineage: Eukaryota; Metazoa; Chordata; Mammalia; Primates; Hominidae
Description: HSALNT0008384
Source: RNAcentral